UACGGAGGGAGCAAGCGUUACUCGGAAUUACUGGGCGUAAAGGGCGCGUAGGCGGCCAGGUAGGUCUGCUGUGAAAACUCGAGGCUCAACCUCGAGAUGUCGGCGGAAACCAUCUGGCUAGAGUCCGGAAGAGGAGAAUGGAAUUCCCGGUGUAGCGGUGAAAUGCGCAGAUAUCGGGAAGAACACCCGUGGCGAAGGCGGUUCUCUGGGACGGUACUGACGCUGAGACGCGAAAGCGUGGGGAGCGAACAGG
Molecule: ribosomal RNA, 253 nt
Filed under: uncultured bacterium
Lineage: Bacteria
Description: partial 16S ribosomal RNA
Rfam family: Bacterial small subunit ribosomal RNA
Source: RNAcentral